GAUCAGACCACCUUCCUCCCCACAACCACCCCCUGCUCUCCCCCUCAAGAGCUUUAGGACCACAAAGUGAGGACGGGGACACAGCUGCGUGGGGAGGGGCCAGGCCAAGACAGGAGGAGGCGAUGGGGCCAGCCCAACAGGUCUGGCAAAGCUUGGGCAGAUGAUCACCUCUUUUGGGAGGACUCCAUGAUACAUCAGGCCAAAUGAAUCCAAUCCACCAGCCUCUGGAACUGCUUUCGUCCAUGUACUUAUGUGUUCUGCCUUCCAUGAUGGAUAUUCAUGGUCUGUCUGCCCCACUAGGCAGCAGCUCCUGAGGACAGGAACUAAACCUCUUUAAAAUGCCUUCAAAAACCCUGCCAUGCACCCUGAUACAGCCCUAGUUAGUGUACAUAUUAUUAUCAGGUUUCUGAAGAUAAUCCAGGAACACCUAUUGUAUCAGUCAGCUACUGCUGCAUAACAAAUUAUACCAAACUCAGUGGCCUAAAACAACACAUGUCUUUGUGAUAUGACUGGUGAAAUAAAUUAAGCAAAAACAAA
This is a long non-coding RNA of Pan troglodytes (chimpanzee), 537 nucleotides long. RefSeq lists it as uncharacterized. The transcript is spliced from 2 exons. Lineage: Eukaryota; Metazoa; Chordata; Mammalia; Primates; Hominidae. The record is from RefSeq and is a predicted model, not a curated record.